Molecule: long non-coding RNA, 614 nt
Filed under: Phaseolus vulgaris (common bean)
Lineage: Eukaryota; Viridiplantae; Streptophyta; Magnoliopsida; Fabales; Fabaceae
Description: long non-coding RNA (PVUL_LNC002328)
Source: RNAcentral
GUGUGUGUUGCUGAGAUUGGCUGUGUGUUCUUGAGGUGUUCAAGAUUAGCAAUCUUAGUGUUGGCCAAGGAGAGUGUGUUUCUUGAGGUGUUCAAGGUCAGUCUCUUGGUUGUGGUGUAAGUGAUCAAGUGGUGAUUGCUUAGUGGAUUUCCUCAGGAUUUCUGAGAAGACUGGAUGUAGCUCUGGAUUGGAGUGAACCAGUAUAAACAACUGUGUACAAUUUCUCUAUCCCUAUCUCUUUAAUUCAGUUUGAUAUUUUGGAACUGGUAUAAGCAACCGAUUGUUUCGUUAAAACAACCAAUUGUUUUUCCAGCUUUGUGCUUUUUGCUGUUUGUUUUGGAAAAACUGAAUUCUCAAUCAAGGUUCUUCUGAAGUAUUUCCAUUCUAAGCUUAAAAGUUUUCAAAAAUCCUUCUUAAACAAUUCACCCCCCUCUCGUUUAAGGCCAUAUAUUCUAACAAUUAUAUUAUACCAAGUACAAUUAUCUUAAAUGUAAAUGUGUGUUUCUUCCAUAAACAUAUUGUAGGCAAAAAUCAUAUUAAAUUAUGAAGUCACCUUUUGUCAUAUAAAUUAAAUUAAAAUGUAAUAUAAUACAAAUAAAACAUGAUGAAAUAUA